This is a non-coding RNA of Macaca mulatta (Rhesus monkey), 2791 nucleotides long. The record is from RefSeq and is a predicted model, not a curated record. NCBI's taxonomy places the organism in Eukaryota, Metazoa, Chordata, Mammalia, Primates, Cercopithecidae.
ACACACACACACAGGGGAAACCUGGGAGCCACCGAUGAAGCUAAGAAAACUACCUCAGGAAUAUUUUCUGUGCUUCUCAUUCGCUCACUUUCCAGAUGAUGGGCCGAGCAGAACACUAGCCAUUUCAACAUACAACUGGCUGGCUCAAAGGUGCUUCUGCUGCUCUGGUGUGCUUUAGGGGUUGGUGGGGAGAAGAUGGGCAUCUUGAAGGAAAGAAGAAGCUCACCUUUGACCAGCACAGUCAGCCUCUGGUGUGCAAAUGCCAGAAGGGAAAGGAGAAUUUUACUGUCUCACCACCCUUAAGAAACCAAGAACCAGGAUGGACUCGCCAUGCAUUUCUCUGCCCGACAGUGGCGACAGCUGAGCCCGCAUAGCUUCUGGCACAUGCCAGGCAACCGAGAGGCUGCAGAACUCCCUGGGCAGAGGGGCCUUUCGCAGAAAGGAUACAUCACGCCUGCAUAAGUCCUGACAAGAACAUUCUGGGAAAAUAGGAGGCUGUCUCCAAAUUGUGCAGGAGAGGACACCUGUUCCUCAAAGUUUCAGAGAGAAAUAUUAGCUGUGCUGUGAUCAACCACCGUCUUUCAGAUGAUCUGGCAAAAGAAAGAGAGAGGAAGAGAGUGUAUGUGUAUGGAGAGAGACGGGGGAGAGGAAGAGGAAGCAGGAGGAUGAACGUGGGUGAAGGGUACACAGCUCUUCUUUCAGUGCCUCACAAGGACAUGGGCUCCACGAUAACAAGGCCCUUUAGCGUCUGUCCGCUGCAUCGUCUCCAGAGCCUGGCAGACCCGGCACUCUGCCCACUUCUGCUGAAUGACAGAAGGCAUGAACAUACGCAUCCCAUCUGACGGUGCACGGCGCAAGGGGAGACGCAGGGAAGGAUUCCACACCGUGGAGGGCACGGCCCUGCCUGCAAGGAAAACCGCAGUUCAGCAGAAAAGGCGCCAUGCAACCCGCUCAGGACGUUGUGAAAUGAACAGAGGGCAAAGAGACUUCAGUGGAAUCUGAGGGUUGCACAUUUACAGAAACCUAGUUCUGAAGUCACCUCUUGAGAAACCAACAAAAAGUGCCUUUAACAAAGGAGACGUCUUAAGGAGAGACGAACUCCCGGACAAUGGCGACGGCGUGCAGCUGGGCCUGACAGGUGCGGAGACGGCGGUGCCUGGGCGGAGGGCGCACGGAGGAUGACUUCUCAGAAACAGUUGGAAAGGCCAGGACCUGAUCACCAGCUGAUGAAUGAGUAAUCGUGACGUCCCUGUCCAUACAAAGGAGUGCCACUCAGCCAUGACAAGGAAGUGCUGACUUAAGCCACAACAAGGGUGAGCUUGGGAAACACGAUGCCACAUGAGUUACACCAGGCAGAAAAGACCACAGAGUGUAUGAUUCCAUGUCUAUGAAAUGGCCGGAGCAGGCAAAUCAUAGAGACAGAAAGUAGAUUAGCAGUUACCCAGGGGUUGCUUAGGAUCUAAUUAGGGGUUAUUGGGGUGAGGGGGAAAUGGGAAGUGACUGCUUAAUGGAUAGAGGGUAUCCUUUUGGGGUGAGAAAAAUAUUCAGGAAUGAGAUAGGCGUGAUGGUUGCACAACUUUGUGAAUAGACUAAAGCCCACUGGCUUGUGCACUCUAAAAUGAUGAAUUUCGUGGCAUGUGAAUUCCACCUCAACUUUUUAAAGGCCAGGGGCAGCCUUUGCAUUAAUCACAACCUAACAUCCUCCAGUCCCAACUUGACUCCUACUUUAGAACAGGUGCUUUGGGGCAGGGACUGUGUUCCGUCCUGUUGCAUCCCUGAGGGCUAAUAACACACUUGUUGAAUUCACGCAAAAAUUAAUGGCAACAUAUUCAAACUUAUUGCUCCUCAGAGAUAGGCCACAAGUUUUUAAGCAAACUCGUAGUGGAUAGUAGAUGUUUGGAGGCCAGAAAGAGGCAGCACCAGACUGAGGGGACUCCGGAUACAGAGGGCCAGGGUCAAGGCCCCCCCAGGCACCAAACUAGCCUCAUGCACAUUAACGGACCUCUCCGCGUGUCAGUUUGCUCAUCUGUCCAGGGAGAACUCUAGAACCUUGGGAUUGCUCGGAGGAGUAAAUGACUUAGAAGACGUGAAGUGCGGAGCCUGUAUUCACAUUCAGGCCCACUCCAGGGGCUGAAUUUGUAAAACUAUGCUCUGCUGCCUCUCUGCUUGCUGUUAGAACUGUGCCUGGGACACAGUAACUGCUAUACGUGUUGCAGAAGAAAAAAGUCAAAUGUCAAAGUCUUAUUAGAAAAAUACUGGAAGAAAAUAAUAAUGAGAGCUACAGAGAGCACCACCAAUACAAAAUAAUCCAUAAGCUUAAUCUCACAUAUAUAUGUAUAUAGUACAUAAUAUGUAAUAUAUUGUAUGUAUAUGCACAUGUAUAUUAUAUGUAUAUGUGUACCUAUAUAAGAUAUAAUAUAUAUAUACAUAUUAGAAAUGGGGUCUGAUGGUUAGAAUCUGUGUCCCCACCCAAAUCUCCUGUUAAAUUGUAAUCCCCAGUGUUGGAGGUGGGGCCUGGUAGGAGGUGAUUGGAUCACGGGGGUGGUUUCUAACAAUUUAGCUCCAUCCCCCAGUGUUGUCUCGUGAUGGGGUUCUCAGGAGAUCUGGCUGUUUAAAAGUGUGUGGCACCUCCAGCCUUGAGCUCUUCCUCCUGACCCAGACACGUAAGACGCGCGCCUACUUCCCCUUCGCCUUCCGCUGUGAUUGAAAGUUUCCUGAGGCAUUCCCUGGCUGUGAUUCUUGUACAGCCUGAGGAACUGGAGCCAAUUAAACCUGUUUUCUUUAUAAAUUA